This 28-nucleotide small RNA is filed under the name Bombyx mori (domestic silkworm). RNAcentral's name for it is "ovarian small RNA-16961". The record is from RNAcentral. Lineage: Eukaryota; Metazoa; Arthropoda; Insecta; Lepidoptera; Bombycidae.
GCGGUGAUGAUUACGGGUUGGCCGACGG